This 443-nucleotide ribosomal RNA is filed under the name Salmonella enterica subsp. enterica serovar Enteritidis. Its description in RNAcentral is "partial 23S ribosomal RNA". It matches the Rfam family "Bacterial large subunit ribosomal RNA", at positions 161 to 643 of the family's 2925-position model. The record is from RNAcentral. Lineage: Bacteria; Pseudomonadati; Pseudomonadota; Gammaproteobacteria; Enterobacterales; Enterobacteriaceae.
AAUCCAUAGGUUAAUGAGGCGAACCGGGGGAACUGAAACAUCUAAGUACCCCGAGGAAAAGAAAUCAACCGAGAUUCCCCCAGUAGCGGCGAGCGAACGGGGAGGAGCCCAGAGCCUGAAUCAGCAUGUGUGUUAGUGGAAGCGUCUGGAAAGGCGCGCGAUACAGGGUGACAGCCCCGUACACAAAAGCGCAUGUGCUGUGAGCUCGAUGAGUAGGGCGGGACACGUGGUAUCCUGUCUGAAUAUGGGGGGACCAUCCUCCAAGGCUAAAUACUCCUGACUGACCGAUAGUGAACCAGUACCGUGAGGGAAAGGCGAAAAGAACCCCGGCGAGGGGAGUGAAAAAGAACCUGAAACCGUGUACGUACAAGCAGUGGGAGCACCCUUUGGGUGUGACUGCGUACCUUUUGUAUAAUGGGUCAGCGACUUAUAUUCUGUAGCAA